Pezoporus occidentalis (night parrot) is the source of this 1113-nucleotide long non-coding RNA. RefSeq lists it as uncharacterized. The transcript has 2 exons. NCBI's taxonomy places the organism in Eukaryota, Metazoa, Chordata, Aves, Psittaciformes, Psittacidae. The record is from RefSeq and is a predicted model, not a curated record.
GAUCAGCUUGCCAAAGCAUCACCUUUCUCAGUAUCUCAGUGGAGUCAACUCUACUAAGAUGUCAAGGAAGGCUGUUUAAGAGAUCCUGUUAAAGGGAAAGGAGCCUCAUCUUUUAAUUUGCUCUUAUGUUUCUGUGCUGAUGUUUUCAUAUAUUGUCAUUUCUAGGGAAGACUGAGCAUGGAAUUCAGCCCAUCUUCUAGUUCCCCAAGUGCAGAAAAAAAACAGACUGAUCUUCUCUCAAGCACUGGCAUUUCCAGGGUACAUGUUUUCAGGACACCAGCAUUCCCAGGAAAGCUGCUUUUUCAAAGUUUUUCUACGGACCAGGAACUGGUCUGAACUUUGUGGUCAGAGGUCUUCUGUAGUAUGACAGCCUGCAGAGCACUACUGUGUGGCAAAAGGGUGAUGAGAGCAGGCAGGCAUUCCAACCAAAUCAAGGGAAGUUAAUAUGCCUCUGUAGAAAGUAUUCACAGUGGUCAGGAGGCUUGGAAGAUACCCAUCUGGUGGAGUUCAGAACAUUAAGCUAAAUGCUCUGUCAAAUAAUGGAGAUCCCUCUCACCUUUGCUGUCUUCAAAGGAAAGAGGCAGGACAGAGUCUGUGCUGUGUGUACACAUCUAAAGCAAUGCACAGGAGUAGCCUGACAGACCUUGUUGGGAAGGCAGAGUGCACUGUGAGUGCGUGACAAGCCCUGACAUCUAUAUACCUUACCACUACCACCAGUGGCUUGAAGCCAGGAUAGGUCAGAGUGUACACCAAGGACUGACAUUUCUCCCUCCUGCCAGUGUUUGUACACAUCCUAAGCUGCUAUUGCACAACCUGGUGUGAGUGGCACGCUCUGCUCACAAGAGCCCCGAGACUGGAAGAGCAGGCUUCAGCUGUCUGUUUGGCAGGACUGUGAUGCACUCACUGCCAGAGACACCUGAGCUGCUUGUGUUCCUUUCCCUCCUCCAGUUCCCACCUGCACCCCCUGCUUUGAAACAAAGGCUCCCACUAAAAGCAAAGAAGUAGCUAUAGAGGAAGAUUCCCUAGUUGCUGCCCACAUGUCAACUGCUGCUGUUGCAGACUGUGGCUUUUGUGAUGACAGCAAUGAUUCAAUUAAAUGAUUUUUUAAUACUU